AGCAGCGUAGCGCAGAGGAAGCGUGGUGGGCUCAUAACCCACAGGUCGUAUGAUCGAAACAUACCGCUGCUA
RNAcentral lists this transfer RNA (72 nucleotides) under Neocallimastix californiae. It matches the Rfam family "tRNA". Rfam says of the family: Transfer RNA (tRNA) molecules are approximately 80 nucleotides in length. Their secondary structure includes four short double-helical elements and three loops (D, anti-codon, and T loops). RNAcentral also lists the same sequence under 2 other names. Lineage: Eukaryota; Fungi; Neocallimastigomycota; Neocallimastigomycetes; Neocallimastigales; Neocallimastigaceae. The record is from Rfam by way of RNAcentral.